Molecule: RNA transcript, 4496 nt
Organism: Poecile atricapillus (Black-capped chickadee)
Lineage: Eukaryota; Metazoa; Chordata; Aves; Passeriformes; Paridae
Gene: DPF3
Gene name: double PHD fingers 3
Exons: 11
Source: RefSeq, a predicted model, not a curated record
GACACAAUAUUCUGUUACAUUGUAGCAAAAUGGCGACUGUCAUUCACAACCCCCUGAAAGCACUCGGGGACCAGUUCUACAAAGAAGCCAUUGAGCACUGUCGCAGCUACAACUCUCGGCUCUGUGCCGAGCGAAGCGUCCGCCUUCCCUUCCUGGACUCGCAAACUGGGGUAGCUCAGAACAACUGCUACAUCUGGAUGGAGAAGAGGCACAGGGGACCAGGCCUGGCCCCAGGUCAGCUGUACACAUACCCAGCACGUUGCUGGCGCAAAAAGAGGCGUUUGCAUCCCCCUGAGGAUUCCAGGCUGAAGCUGCUGGAAAUUAAACCUGAAGUUGAUCUGCCUCUGAAAAAAGAUGGGUUCACCUCAGAAAGUACAACUCUGGAAGCCUUGCUGCGUGGAGAGGGAAUAGAGAAAAAAACAGACACUAAAGAGGAAGACACUAUACAAGAAAUCCAGAGGGUUUUAGAAAAUGAUGAAAAUGCAGAUGAAGUGAAUGAGGAAGAAGACUUGGAAGAAGAUAUUCCAAAACGAAAGAACAGGCCUAGAGGACGGCCAAAGACCCCCACCUGGAAAAAAAUUUUCCAGAAAAAUGCUCGGGGAUCUGGAGGUGGCAGGAGACGGAAUGAUGCUGCCUCCCAGGAUGAUCAUGACAAGCCCUAUGUUUGUGACAUCUGUGGCAAGCGUUACAAGAACAGGCCUGGGCUGAGCUACCACUAUGCUCACACCCACCUUGCCAGCGAAGAGGGUGAUGAAGCCCGCGAGCAGGAGACCCGCUCUUCCCCUGUCCACCGAAAUGAGAACCACAAACCCCAGAAAGGACCAGAUGGGGUCAUCAUUCCCAAUAACUACUGUGACUUCUGCCUCGGAGGCUCCAAUAUGAACAAAAAAAGUGGCCGGCCUGAGGAACUUGUAUCGUGCUCAGACUGUGGGCGCUCUGCUCAUUUGGGAAGAGAAGGCAGGAGGGACGAAGCAGCGCCAGCACGCACUACGGAGGACUUGUUCGGUUCCACGUCAGAAAGCGACACCUCGACCUUUCAUGGCUUUGACGAGGACGAUGCAGAAGAGCCUCUCUUGAGCCGAGGAGGUGGCUGUGGUGGCAGGUCUCCCUCUGCAGACAAAAAGGGCGGCUGCUAAAAUAACUAAAAAGACACAGAAACUCUGAGCUGUCCUUUUCACUACUAAGAUUAUUAUUACCUUUUUUUUUUUUUUUUGAUUUUAGGUCCUCUUGGGUUUUUGGUUCGUUGGUUUUUUUUUUUCCUCCUCCCCCCGCCUUUUUUUUUUUUGUUAUUUUUGUUAUGUUUUCCCUGUGGGGUGUACACUGAAAGCACAAACAUUUAAAGCUCUUGACAACUACUUUGAAGAGACAGAAGGUUUCUGAUUUUCCUGGGUUUUUUUCUUUUUUUUUAAAUUUUAAUUUGGUUUUAUCCCACCUCCCCUCCUCUUCUUUCUCUUUGGAAACAUAAAAAGUGGAUUUAAUAUUUUUUUUAAUAGUGAGCAGAGUUGAUUUUCUUGUCUUUUAAUAUAUAUAUCAGCAAACCACAAAAAUACAGAUGGGUUGGAGAACAGACAACAAACCCAAAUAGUUUUUUUUAAUUAUUAUUAUUAUUUAUAUAUUCUAUGUAUUAUUAGAAAAACUACUUUUUAAAUAAAAAAAUAGAAAAAAAACAACAAAAAAAGCAAUGGAUGUCUACUUGAUAAUAGAACUGUUUCUAGAGAACCACUGUGGGCGGACUCUAUCAAGGGACAAGGAAACCCUUGAUGUGAUGGCUUCUGCAUUUUGAGAUUUUGCACUUGCUGUAGCAUGUGAAGUCUGGCUCUUCUCAUACAUCUGCUAUGCUACAGCCUGAAAAUACAAGCAGCACCAUUGAAGACCAUGGCCUUGGGGAACACAUUUCCAUCUCCUUUGGACACCUUUACACUCAAUAGUUCUCCUCCUCCCUGCACCCUUUCAUGUCUUCCCCACGUGUUCUACUUUUUUUUUUCUUUUCCUUCACCUUUCACUUGAUGGAGAGCAAUUUCCAAGCAUAGGGAUGGAAUAUGAAUGGCAAGUCAUAGACAUCACAGACGAAACAAAAGGAGGAGCAGAAUCCUGGAAGAAAUUACAUGGAAAAAUACCUCACCUAUACUUUUCUUUCCAUUUUUAAAUUUCAAUUCACAGCAUUUUUUCCCGUGUUACCCUGUUUUUUCUCUCUGUAGUGUCUCACAAGACACUUUAUUUGCUUUUUAAUAGCUUCUUUUGAAAUAAACCAAAGCAAUACUAAUUAAAGUUCCAAGGGCAAUGGAGAAGAGAGUGACUCCCUUCCCAGCGACUUUCCCAGAAAGGAGGAAACAUACAGCAGGAUUUGAAAGUCAGCCCUGCCCUCGUGGAUUCCAGCAGCCUUCAAGCAAGACAUUUCAGAAGAAGACUGAGAGAAGCCCAGAUGCUUUGAUACUUCUUUCCUUGCCCUGUUUCCUCCAUACCCGAGUUCCAUCUGGCACAGGAGCCUGGACUGUGGGAAGCUGGCUGCCGACUGUUGAGAGAAGUUCUGGGGAUGCCCUAAGCUGGUGCAAUACAAAGAAGUUUUUUGAAGUCUUGAUUUCACUUUCUUUUAAGUUUGUGUAUAAACCCAGGUCAGACUGGAAUUGAUCAACAAUAGAACUGACUGAAAGACAAACAAACUGAAAAAAGACAACUAUUUUAUUUAUUUCGAUAUUUAAGAAAGAAGUGCUGAAGUUGCACAGUAUUUUUGUUUGAAAUACAUUUUACUUCAAAUUUUAAAUGCAAUUUUGUGAAGACAUGAAAUUUUAAAAAGCACUUACUGUAAAAUAAAGACUGAAUAUUUACUUUAAAGAAAAAACUUUUUUUAAAUAAUGAAAAUAAAGGUCAACUCUGCUCUCUCUCUUACUUUUAAGAAGCCAUUCAUACAUGUGCUGGGUAUCUUUGUUUUUUGAAAAUUGGAUGUGGUAAGUGAAGAUUGUUCUGGUUUAUUUUCUCCUUAAUAAUAUUAUCCUGUUAGAUGCUUAAAACUUACUUUGCUGUACUGUGUUAGGCACAAAUCUGAACAGAAACUGUUGGAGUAGCAAAGACCAGGCUCAGUGCUUGAGUUUUUUUUGUAACCAGAUUUUGUGUCCAUUUCAAAGGACUGUCUUCUCCCAGUAGGAUUGAUGUGUCUCUUCUGCAUGGUAAAAGAUGUUUUCUUUUGAGCAAUUCUGUGAAAUACUUCUGCUGAAAGAGGGGCUUAAGAAUUGAAAACAAUUCUGUCCACUUUUUUUUGCUUUGGUAAAUCCACAGCUGAUUGCGAGUUUGUUGUAAGGGAAGUAUCUAAACGUUAGGUGCUCUUGGCAUGGAUCUUGCUGUCAAGGAUGAUGUCAUGUGUAGAAAACUUGCACACUUCAGCCCAUUCUGAAGUGGUAGUGGACUUUGAAAAGCAUACAGGUGCAACUACACAUCUGCAAUAAGCAACAGGGAUUACUAUGCAGGAGAAAAAUAUGAGUUCCCACAGCUGCAAUCCUAAAUUGUCCUGUGAGGCAGCGGGGAGGGAUGGCCACAUCCCAAAUUCUGAGUCCUUAUGCAUUUUCCUGGUGAAAAAGGCAUUCUUCUCCAUGCAAGCACCGGAGGGUUCUGUUGGCCGCCAGAUCUGCUUGCAGUGGAGAGCACAGGUCUGUUCAGUGUCAUAUGUGAUGCACUCUGGUAGGGAUGCACGAUAGCCUUGUAUUCUAGGAGAUGAGUAUUGGACUUGGCUCUGUCUGGCACCCCUGUUACAGAGGAGAAUCAAACUGAGGGCAAACCACACCACCAAUUAUUGGGAUUGACCCUCAGGGCACAGGCAGAAAAAAAGUGUUUUUGCUAACAUGGCUUACUUUGGCUUUCAGAAUGAAAAAACUAUGUCUACAAAAAUGCAUGCUGACUAGGUGAAGCUGACAGAAAACCUGAUACUGUUGUGUAUGUUGUGUUUCCUGCAUACCCAGAACACAAACUCACAUCACUGAGAGGUUUCCAUGUGCCAGUAGCAGCAAAUUGUUCACUCCCUUUCUCAUCUUCCACUUCUUCCCUGAUUAAAACAUAAAUUAAAAAAUAACCAUGUAAGGUAGUCCUGCUCCAACUAAAUUCAAUGAGAAUUUGUGUCCUAAUUGAGUUCUUUAGCAGGAUAGGUUUGCUUUGCUCAUGUUGUUGCUUUCUAAACUUGCAAUGGGGAACUGCCUCUAGAGAAAAAAAAAAAAAAAGAAAUAAAUUUUCAUUUCAUCAAAAUAUAAGACGCACAAUUGUAAUGAAGAUUUGAAAACUGUAGGGUCUGUGUUCAGUUUGUGUAAUAUUCCUUCCAAAUAAAAGUUCUGCUUCCAGCAUCCCUACUGUAUAUUCCUCUGUAAAUAUUACUUUCCCGAAGCAAUUCCACAGUCUUUUUUAGUGGAAAUAAUCUUCUUUUAAAAAGACAUUGUUGAGUAACAUAUAUGUACAUUUACUUUUCUAAGCUCUCCAUUGUUUAUAAUACUCUCUUUGAAGCUUAAAAUAAAACU